This 189-nucleotide small RNA is filed under the name Clostridium magnum. RNAcentral's name for it is "Magnesium sequence". It matches the Rfam family "M-box riboswitch aptamer (ykoK leader)". Rfam says of the family: M-box riboswitch, also know as ykoK leader is described as a metaloregulatory RNA that sense divalent metals and function as a genetic control element of genes related to divalent metal transport in bacteria. It was first reported upstream of the B.subtilis ykoK gene and genes with related functions in other bacteria. RNAcentral also lists the same sequence under 1 other name. Lineage: Bacteria; Bacillati; Bacillota; Clostridia; Eubacteriales; Clostridiaceae. The record is from RNAcentral.
AAAUAAUCUUGUUAGGUGAGGUUACUGUAUAGAUAUACGCUACUGCCCAGAAAUGUCGAGAGACGCCAAUGGGUCAGCAGGUACUACCGGAUUAAGGUUUUACUUAAUGUAGCUGACAACAUUCAUAGAAAUAUGAAUGCUUAUGCUCUAAGCUUUACAGAGUCAAAACUCAACGAGUGAAGAUGUACU